UAAUAGUCAUCUGUGUUUAUUUCACAAACCAACUACUAACACACAACUAUAACUUGACUAAAGAAAAAGAAGAGUUACUUACACACAAUUAUAACUUGACUAAAGAAAGACAGAGAUUACUUACAAAAUACAGCGAUUUACUAAAGCAGAGCAGAAUCUUGACUGAAGAAAGUGAGAAAUUCAGAAACAAAAGUGAUGAACUCCACCGUGGCCUUUAUGAACAAGAUCAGCUGUCUGAUAACUUCAAAUGGAUUUACUACAACUUCAGUUUUUAUUACAUUUCAUCUGAUCAAAAGAGCUGGAGUGACAGCAGACGAGACUGUGAACAGAGAGGAGCAAAUCUGCUGAUUAUAAACAAUAAAGAGGAACGAGAGCUUUUGCAGAAGGCUAUAGCUGGUCAGUAUUAUUAUUGGAUUGGUCUAAGUCAGGAGGGAGAGGAGUGGAAAUGGGCUGAUGCCACUACAUUGACAUUAAGUUUCUGGAUAAAUGGACAUUCCAGACACAGUCAUACAUGUGCUGUAACAUCUGCAUCAGGAUGGGUUAGUUAUUCAUGUAAUGGGAACCAAAGAUGGAUCUGUGAGAAGAGAAUUGUACAGUCACUGAUCAUAUAAUAAAUAUGCAUGUACAGUAAAAUAAACUCAUAAAAACUUUUCUUUUUACACCAGCACCAGGUUAUG
Molecule: long non-coding RNA, 677 nt
Organism: Paramisgurnus dabryanus
Lineage: Eukaryota; Metazoa; Chordata; Actinopteri; Cypriniformes; Cobitidae
Source: RefSeq, a predicted model, not a curated record